UACAUUAAAAAAUUAACCCAGUCCGGUCGGACCCGAUAAGCUCGAACUCAUAUGGGACCACAAAAACCCAAAAUACCUAGCCCACUACUAGCUGGGAACCACAGCCUACUAAUCAGCCUAUCCCACUAACUGAACGAGUUAUUUUUUCCCAUGUCUAGCUCGGUCAAGUCCGUUCAGUAAAUACCUUUUGUUGAGAUUAGCUGAGGAAUAGUAGAUUGAUUGCUUGAAUGAAAAGGGAAAAUGUGCUUGAUUUGCUGAUUACCUCGUAAAUAGCAAUAACAAUUGGAUUUGAUUUUGUUGUUCUAAAAAUACUUAAUUUAUUUGUAUGCUAGUUAUUAGGCAGUAUAUGCUAAGUGUGAGACUAGAAAAUAAGAUAAGAGCUUCAAAAAUAAUAUGUUAUGCCAAUCGAGUAUCCGAGAGUCGGGGUCUCACGCUAGUCUAUGCGGGGCCUCAGGGUCGAGCUAAGCGUUAGGCUGUGGAUGGCCGAUGAAGAACUUAAUAGUUUUGAGAGCUAUUUAUGAUCAAUGAUAAGUAAUAAAUAGAGAACAAACAAUGAGAUACAAUAUAUGUAAGUAAAAAAAUCUGAGGAAAGACAAUAAAGAGUGUUUAAGUUAGAGAGUAGAGAAUAUUCUUGUUCUUGUAUUGAAAAUCAUGUGCGAAAAAAAUAACAAAGGUCCUCUUUAUAUAGGAGGGGGAAUCCAAACAUAGUACAUAUUUAUUUAUUACAAAGAUAUGUGGCUGGUUCAACCAUUUAAUUCCACGGUACAAGCUUGUAUUAUUCCUAUGGACUUGGCCAUCUCUAGCCACUCACCUUGGAAAUCUCUACCUCGUUCAUCAAAG
This 840-nucleotide long non-coding RNA is filed under the name Nicotiana benthamiana. Its description in RNAcentral is "long non-coding RNA (NBEN_LNC017422)". The record is from RNAcentral. Lineage: Eukaryota; Viridiplantae; Streptophyta; Magnoliopsida; Solanales; Solanaceae.